RNAcentral lists this ribosomal RNA (165 nucleotides) under Gagea villosa. RNAcentral's name for it is "5.8S ribosomal RNA". It matches the Rfam family "5.8S ribosomal RNA". From Rfam's summary of the family: 5.8S ribosomal RNA (5.8S rRNA) is a component of the large subunit of the eukaryotic ribosome. It is transcribed by RNA polymerase I as part of the 45S precursor that also contains 18S and 28S rRNA. Functionally, it is thought that 5.8S rRNA may be involved in ribosome translocation. The record is from RNAcentral. RNAcentral also lists the same sequence under 4 other names. Lineage: Eukaryota; Viridiplantae; Streptophyta; Magnoliopsida; Liliales; Liliaceae.
CAUUAAGACUCUCGGCAACGGAUAUCUCGGCUCUUACAUCGAUGAAGAACGUAGCGAAAUGCGAUACUUGGUGUGAAUUGCAGAAUCCCGUGAACCAUCGAGUCUUUGAACGCAAGUUGCGCCCGAGGCCUUCGGGUCGAGGGCACGCCUGCCUGGGCGUCACGC